GACGAACGCUGGCGGCGUGCUUAACACAUGCAAGUCGAACGGUGAAGCGCCUUCCUUUUUGGUGGGUGUGGAUGAGUGGCGAACGGGUGAGUAACACGUGAGUAACCUGCCCCCUUCUUCUGGAUAACCGCAUGAAAGUGUUGCUAAUACGGGAUAUUCUGGGUCUGUCGCAUGAUGGGUCUGGGAAAGAUAUUGUUUCGGUGGGGGAUGGGCUCGCGGCCUAUCAGCUUGUUGGUGGGGUGAUGGCCUACCAAGGCGGUGACGGGUAGCCGGCCUGAGAGGGUGGACGGUCACACUGGGACUGAGACACGGCCCAGACUCCGACGGGAGGCAGCAGUGGGGAAUAUUGCACAAUGGGCGCAAGCCUGAUGCAGCGACGCCGCGUGAGGGAUGGAGGCCUUCGGGUUGUGAACCUCUUUCGCCAGUGAAGCAGGCCUGCCUCGUUUGUGGGUGGGUUGACGGUAGCUGGAGAAGAAGCGCCGGCUAACUACGUG
This 494-nucleotide ribosomal RNA is filed under the name uncultured bacterium. Its description in RNAcentral is "partial 16S ribosomal RNA". It matches the Rfam family "Bacterial small subunit ribosomal RNA", at positions 28 to 507 of the family's 1533-position model. The record is from RNAcentral.